This is an RNA transcript of Lolium rigidum, 3496 nucleotides long. RefSeq lists it as uncharacterized. Lineage: Eukaryota; Viridiplantae; Streptophyta; Magnoliopsida; Poales; Poaceae. The transcript has 4 exons. The record is from RefSeq and is a predicted model, not a curated record.
CGGAGGAGUACGGCGCCUACUCUUCCCCAAGCGGCGGCAUGGAGGAAGUCGCCGGCUACUUCCUCUCCCUCUUGAGGCACGACGGUUAUUGCUAUGCCGGUGAGGUGGCCAUUGACGCGGUUGUCGGCGCGAUGGAGGAGGGCGCCGCUCUCCUCUCCUCCUUGGUCGGCUCUACGAGGAGGAAGAGGAACUGGGCGCUGUCCCCUGCUCCGUUCCCCUCCACAGCAGCUCCCAACCUCACCGGCGGCGAGGCAGCGACAAGAUCCGCAGUCAUCUAGGACGAAGCAGCGCGAGCUCGGCACCCUCCUCUCCUCCCCUGCUCCGUUCCCCUCCAAGCUCGGCGGUGCUCACCUCGGCAUGGGCAUGACCAGAGCGCAGAACACGUCGACGCAGGCACGAACAACAGCAGCUAGAGCCGUUAUAGGGGAUCUUCGAGAAGUCCGAGCACGGAGUGUACAACCUUCGGGGUCUGCUGAUGGGACGAUGAACCGGUACCAUGUGUACAAGAUCCGGUAGUAGUAGAUGCAGGAAGCAGUAAUCGUUCUUCAGGUAUAUCCAAUAGGCCUAUUGUUGUUUGACCCUAGCCCAUGUAUGGAAUGCAACGAGGUAAGAAUUCAUAGUCAUUUGUCAAAGUGUGCUUACCAGUAUUAGGGUCAUAUUCUGAUUAUGUACCAAACGAAUGUCUUCACAGAAUUCCAGAAAACGUGGUUCAAUUAACUACUGCAACUACAUGUUUAUUCUCUCCUUCAGAAUCCAGAAUUCUGCCCUUUUCAUUGCCACACGGCAGUUUGUAUAAUAUCAACCAAUACCCCCAGCUACAUAAGUCCUAUUUCUGUGCAGACUCCUUAAAUAGAGCCAAUUUCAUAUGGUACUAAUAUGAUUGUGUUGGAAAUUUGCUUACCCAUGGUUAUCGCAAGGUACACAUAUGUUUAUAGUAGAAGCCUUGAGUUGUCAUUGCUGCAUUAUAUUCGCUUUUCAUCUACAGAACAAUACUUCAUCUAAAAGGUUUUUUGAUGGUAUUAUUUUGAAUGCAUCUGGCGUGAUACUUCAUCUUCUUUAGGAUCUUUUUAGUUGUCCUACAAAGGGACUAAUUCCUUCGUAUGUUUUUCUCGACUUCUAAUAGGCGCUGUCCUGCUGUGUCAAAUCAACUCAUAGAUUUUACUAAAUUCAACUUGGUAUCUGAAUAUAUAUACUCCAAACAACAAUAGGCCUUUUACAAAGGAGGUAGUUUGUUACAAUGGGUUGAAAUUAUAUACUGGUUCUUUUUUAAUUUCAUACUGACCCUUUCAGUUCUGGAAGAACCUUUUGUUUUUUAUAUAUAAGUAUGCAUGCACAAACUGUCAGUUCUGCACUAUAUAAGUGGACCAUGGUAAUGUUAGGCCCCUUCAUUGUAUAAAGAUACAGCUGUUCUCUUAUUGGAUUGAAUCAUACUAUUUUGACAAAUCAAGUUAGUGAAUUAGGAUGAUGUACUCAUGUGGUUAUGCUACUGCCAAUUUUUGAUCAGCAUGUAUGAGAGAAAAUCAGUGUUGCCCGGAAGAAUAAGAAUGUAGGCUGCCAGGUCCAUUGUUUUGUGCAUCAUGGAUAUAUAGGCUGCCGGGGCAAGUGUUUUCUGCGUUAUGGAUAUACUUAUAAUAUACCAUAUAAUGGAUGCCUCCUUGACAUAGUAUGGCGUAGUUGUAUUACUGUUUCAGACUCAUAUCAACGUAGAGUGGUGUAAAAAGACAAAUCUUAUGAAGUAUUUGUUUAAGUAUCUUGCCAAAGGACAUGACAUGGCUCAGGCCCGUCUUCAUUCUAUGUAUCAAAGCUCAAAUGCUGUCUCGUCAGGGACUAAUCAAAACAUGUUAGGAAUUCUGCUGUGUUGCCUUUCUUAAUUUUCCCCCGUGUGAAGCUCUGUUUAUUAAGAUGUCUUACCAACUGCUCUUUGUGGCCCAGAUAUUUGUCGGCGUGUGAGACCUGCUGGCGUCCAUUUGGAUUUGAUAUACAUGUUCGUGAACCUUCUGUUGACAGAUUGGCAGUGCACCUUCCUAACAUGAACCGCGUUUUAUAUCAUGAGAGUGAUAGGCUUGCUAAUAUUGUCGAUAACCCCAACAGGUACAAAACUAUGCUUACUGAAUGGUUUGUGGCCAAUCAGCGUUACCUGGAGGCCUUAGCCCUCACAUAUUUGGAACUUCCAUCUAAGUUGAUCGGGAAUGGACAGAUUAAGAGGUGGAAAAAAAGGACACAUGAGUUCAAGUUUGGUCCUCUGAUUGGUCUCAUAUACAAUGUGCAUCCUACCACCAAUGAGCUCUUCUUUUUACGUAUACUCUCACGGUUGUACCUGGAGCUACAGGUUUUCAGGAUCUUUGGAAAUAUCAGGGAACUUUAUAUUUUUCUUUUAAGGAGGCUUUCCAGGCCCGUGGUCUGGUUGGCGAUGACAACUUUAUAUCAUGAAGUGCUCGCUAAUGUCUGUAGGGAAAAUCUUCUCUAGGUAUUAAGAAUUUAGGUGUUCACAUCACAUCUUGGUUUCCAGAGCUUGGAGAAACAAGUUGGCCGGUUAUGUCCUCAUGCUUUUGUUCGUUACCUUCACAAAGUUGUUACGAGUUGCCAUACUACUAUCUUUGUAUCUGCUAAAUUUACCUAUAUGUUCUUCGUUUUUGCGGCUUUUGGUUUGUUUCAAAACCUGGUUUCUUACCUGAACCUUUACUAUACUGCUCUUGCCGGGUUUAUCCUGGACAACGCGGUAAGGAGAUUUUGCCUAUGAAACAAACUGUGAGUGACUACUUUGUGUUUUUUUUUACCAGGGGACUACUUUGUGUUUACUAGCUGGUGCUCUAUGAAAAUGAGGUUUCAAAAUCUGGUCAGGUUUAGGGUGACUUCUUUUGGGCUUCUGCUUAUGCAUAAGCCGGCUUCUGUGUUUUGGUGGGAAGAAACUGCGGUGGCUAGAAGCUCCUAGAAGCUAGUUACUCCUAUUCUUUUGGGCUUCUGGAGUUAUAGCUCAUUUGUUGUGGUGAGUUGUAAAAUGUCUAUAAAACCCCAAGAUUUGUUGUGUGCUUUAAAUAAGUGAUGAUAUCAUACAUGACAACAUUAAUUCUGCUCAUUCUAGAAAUUUUAAUACCAAAGCCUCGCAGAAAUCAUAGAUCAGAAGUGCUAAAAAUAAACUAUCCACCAUUUUACUUUGCUGUUUAUGCUUUGAUACAUAUAAAAGACCUAUGUUAUAUACAAAAUGCAUACCACAUCUGUCUCUUUUGUUAUGAUACAGACAAGUUUUUAUACCAAAUACUCACAGCAAUUCAUUUUAUUCACAUCCACAUCUGCAAGAAAUUGAUUAUACCAGAAAACGUUGGAAGGCAAGAUCGAAUCGAGGACGAGCUGGAGAUUGGCGUCGGUGGGGAAGCUCGCUACUGGGGGAGGACGAGGUCGACGGUCGGCCGGAGAGCUCGCUGCUGCGGAGAGCUCGUCGGUUGCCGGAGAGCUCGCUGCUGCGGAGAGCUCGUCGGCGGCGGAUGUAGAGGCGGGC